This 838-nucleotide ribosomal RNA is filed under the name uncultured bacterium. RNAcentral's name for it is "bacterial SSU rRNA". It matches the Rfam family "Bacterial small subunit ribosomal RNA", at positions 8 to 860 of the family's 1533-position model. The record is from RNAcentral.
AGAGUUUGAUCCUGGCUCAGGAUGAACGCUAGCGGCAGGCCUAAUACAUGCAAGUCGAACGGUUGUAGCGAUACAAUAGUGGCGCACGGGUGCGUAACACGUAUGCAACCUACCUUAUAGACGGGGAUAGCCUUUGGAAACGGAGAUUAAUACCCGAUAGUACUAUUGACUGGCAUCAGUUAAUAUUUAAAGAUUUAUCGCUAUAAGCUGGGCAUGCGUCCAAUUAGUUAGUUGGUUAGGUAACGGCUGACCAAGACGAUGAUUGGUAGGGGAACUGAGAGGUUAAUCCCCCACACUGGCACUGAGAUACGGGCCAGACUCCUACGGGAGGCAGCAGUAGGGAAUAUUGGGCAAUGGAGGCAACUCUGACCCAGCCAUGCCGCGUGCAGGAUGAAGGCGUUAUGCGUUGUAAACUGCUUUUAUAUAGGAAGAAACAGACCUUGCGAGGUAAUUUGACGGUACUAUAUGAAUAAGCACCGGCUAACUCCGUGCCAGCAGCCGCGGUAAUACGGAGGGUGCAAGCGUUGUCCGGAUUUAUUGGGUUUAAAGGGUGCGUAGGCGGUUUAUUAAGUCAGUGGUGAAAGACGGUCGCUCAACGAUUGCAGUGCCAUUGAUACUGGUAGACUUGAGUGAGAUUGAGGUAGCUGGAAUGGAUAGUGUAGCGGUGAAAUGCAUAGAUAUUAUCCAGAACACCAAUUGCGUAGGCAAGUUACUAAGUCUCAACUGACGCUGAGGCACGAAAGUGUGGGUAUCAAACAGGAUUAGAUACCCUGGUAGUCCACACUGUAAACGAUGAUAACUAACUGUUGGCUUUCGGGUCAGGGUACAGAGAAAUCGU